GUAGUUCCAUGAUACUGGCUGAGUUUGCAAUAGCAGAUGGAACUUUUAACUAUUGAGGGAGUUUGCAGAUACCUCAGGAUUCGUGACAAUGCCUUUAAAGAUCCAGGAGAUGUUCAGCUACUAGGAACUGCUAGCAAGUAUAGCGCGAAUGGCUUCGAGCUCAGAAACUCUGCAGCUGAGAGUAGACACUUGUGGGAGGAAUCUGCUACAGGCUUAUCAGCUGUUUUUUUAAAAAAACGCAAGUUCUUGGCUUAAAGGAACAUCCUUGAGGACCGCCUUUAUUCUGAGCCACUAAACUUCAUUCUGACUGCCAUGCAGUUGGUUUUGAGCUGCUUUUGCAGUUUUAAUUAAUCAUUCAAUUUUGUGAAUGAAUUUUCUGAAAUAAACUGCUUUUAUGAUA
Jaculus jaculus (lesser Egyptian jerboa) is the source of this 400-nucleotide long non-coding RNA. RefSeq lists it as uncharacterized. The record is from RefSeq and is a predicted model, not a curated record. The transcript is spliced from 3 exons. NCBI's taxonomy places the organism in Eukaryota, Metazoa, Chordata, Mammalia, Rodentia, Dipodidae.